Molecule: long non-coding RNA, 874 nt
Filed under: Danio rerio (zebrafish)
Lineage: Eukaryota; Metazoa; Chordata; Actinopteri; Cypriniformes; Danionidae
Description: lncRNA si:ch211-188p14.8 (ENSDARG00000093583.3)
Source: RNAcentral
ACUUACAUUUCUUUACAACUGCUUAAUGCAGUACUGAUGUAUCUAGUAGUUUAGUGGGUUUAACUAAUGUCACAUCUGUUUUUAUUCAUUUUAGAUGCAGAAACUUUUGACAUAUGAAUUCAUCUUGACUAAGGAACUCUUCACAGCACUGCAUCUGAACAGUCACAACCUCACAGAGCUGCACAACUGCCCAUCUCAGAUCAGUGUUGAAGCUGGAACCUCAUCUUGUGUACAGCAAAGGCAGAGCUGAAAAUUCACUGUUUGUCUUGUAUUGUGUGUGGCAAAACCUGGAAUAACACAUGGGAGCCCUCCAGGAAUUGCUGACACUUUACGCCCAAGUCUCCUCAUGCUAACCGGAUUGCAAUAUGACAGUCUAGUCAGCAUAAACACCUGGACUCACCAAGCACACUUUGGUUCUCCAUGUUUUGUACAAAUUGUUUUUGCUAUUCUUCAGUAAAUACUUGAAUAUGUUUUGAACUUAUUCUACUUUUGAUGUUUAAGUUCAGAAAGUUGUUAUUAUAAACAUAAUUUGCAUUUGUCAUGAACUUGACUUCUUGUUGUUGUUAAAGCUGUUUAUUAUAAUGGCAUUUCCAAAGGCAUCGUUUAAAAGAUUUUUUGCAGUGCAGUUUUACUUGAGCUUGACAUACCAGAUGUAUGACAUGAAUAAAUAUCACAAAACAAAUAUAAUAAUGAUAAUACAAAAUAUAAAUUUCCUUCAAUUAUAAUUGUUUUUAAUCAUUUAUAUAUGUAUGGUAAUAUAUUAUUGCAUUAAAAACUGUUAUAAAUAUAUAUACAUUUUUGGUUUUUGCAUGUUUGCGUGAUUUUUUUUUUUUUUUGUGGCAUUAUAAAUAAAUUAUAAAUGUUUCAUUAAAAA